UGGGGAAUAUUGCACAAUGGGCGAAAGCCUGAUGCAGCGACGCCGCGUGCGGGAUGAAGGCCUUCGGGUUGUAAACCGCUUUUAAUUGGGAGCAAGCGAGAGUGAGUGUACCUUUUGAAUAAGCACCGGCUAACUACGUGCCAGCAGCCGCGGUAAUACGUAGGGUGCAAGCGUUAUCCGGAAUUAUUGGGCGUAAAGAGCUCGUAGGCGGUUUGUCACGCCUGGUGUGAAAGUCCAUCGCUUAACGGUGGAUCUGCGCCGGGUACGGGCAGGCUAGAGUGCAGUAGGGGAGAUUGGAAUUCCCGGUGUAACGGUGGAAUGUGUAGAUAUCGGGAAGAACACCAAUGGCGAAGGCAGAUCUCUGGGCUGUUACUGACGCUGAGGAGCGAAAGCAUGGGGAGCGAACAGGAUUAGAUACCCGUGGUAGUCCAUGCCGUAAACGGUGGAUGCUGGAUGUGGGACCCUUCCACGGGUUCCGUGUCGGAGCUAACGCGUUAAGCAUCCCGCCUGG
This 511-nucleotide ribosomal RNA is filed under the name uncultured bacterium. RNAcentral's name for it is "partial 16S ribosomal RNA". It matches the Rfam family "Bacterial small subunit ribosomal RNA", at positions 355 to 876 of the family's 1533-position model. The record is from RNAcentral.